CGCUUAUUAAGAAAGACGGAGGGAUUAGACCCAACGAUGUCUUAGCAACCUGUGCCAACAAGGUGCUAAAUUCUAAUCUCAGCAGUAGCGAGAGAAGAUAAGUU
RNAcentral lists this non-coding RNA (104 nucleotides) under Pedobacter sp. RNAcentral's name for it is "SAM-I sequence". It matches the Rfam family "SAM riboswitch aptamer (S box leader)". From Rfam's summary of the family: The SAM riboswitch is found upstream of a number of genes which code for proteins involved in methionine or cysteine biosynthesis in Gram-positive bacteria. The SAM riboswitch acts at the level of transcription termination control. Lineage: Bacteria; Pseudomonadati; Bacteroidota; Sphingobacteriia; Sphingobacteriales; Sphingobacteriaceae. The record is from RNAcentral. RNAcentral also lists the same sequence under 1 other name.